This 482-nucleotide ribosomal RNA is filed under the name uncultured bacterium. Its description in RNAcentral is "bacterial SSU rRNA". It matches the Rfam family "Bacterial small subunit ribosomal RNA", at positions 28 to 507 of the family's 1533-position model. The record is from RNAcentral.
GACGAACGCUGGCGGCGUGCUUAACACAUGCAAGUCGAACGGAGUACCCUUGAUUGAGGCUUCGGCCAAUUUCUUGGACUACUUAGUGGCGGACGGGUGAGUAACACGUGAGUAACCUGCCCUCGAGUGGGGAAUAACACACCGAAAGGUGUGCUAAUACCGCAUAACAUAACGGAAUCGCAUGUUUCUGUUAUCAAAGAUUUAUUGCUCGGGGAUGGGCUCGCGGCCGAUUAGAUAGUUGGUGGGGUAACGGCCUACCAAGUCGACGAUCAGUAGCCGACCUGAGAGGGUGAUCGGCCACAUUGGGACUGAGACACGGCCCAAACUCCUACGGGAGGCAGCAGUGGGGAAUAUUGGGCAAUGGGGGAAACCCUGACCCAGCAACGCCGCGUGGAGGAAGAAGGUUUUCGGAUCGUAAACCUUUGUCUUUGGUGAAGAAGAAAGUGACGGUAACCAAGGAGGAAGCCACGGCUAACUACGUG